Molecule: long non-coding RNA, 150 nt
Organism: Thalassophryne amazonica
Lineage: Eukaryota; Metazoa; Chordata; Actinopteri; Batrachoidiformes; Batrachoididae
Exons: 3
Source: RefSeq, a predicted model, not a curated record
UGGUGUCCAAAGAAGCGCACAUCCACCUGAUUGUCAUCCCUCUGAAGGACUUUGGCCGGCCAGUAUCCAAAACCUUUCAUUUUGGCCCAGACUAAGUCAUGGCUGGGACUCUACCAUAAAAAGACACAGUCCACGUAGUAAACCAUCAAG